GACGAACGCUGGCGGCGUGCUUAACACAUGCAAGUCGAACGGUAAGGCUCCAGCUUGCUGGGGUACACGAGUGGCGAACGGGUGAGUAACACGUGGGUGACCUGCCCUGCACUUCGGGAUAAGCCUGGGAAACUGGGUCUAAUACCGGAUAGGACCGCACCGUGAGGGUGGGGUGGAAAGUUUUUUCGGUGUGGGAUGGGCCCGCGGCCUAUCAGCUUGUUGGUGGGGUAAUGGCCUACCAAGGCGGCGACGGGGAGCCGGCCUGAGAGGGUGGACGGCCACCUUGGGACUGAGACACGGCCCAGACUCCUACGGGAGGCAGCAGUGGGGAAUAUUGCACAAUGGGCGGAAGCCUGAUGCAGCGACGCCGCGUGGGGGAUGCCGGCCUUCGGGUUGUAAACUCCUUUCACCAUCGACGAAGGGUUUCUGACGGUAGAUGGAGAAGAAGCACCGGCUAACUACGUG
RNAcentral lists this ribosomal RNA (465 nucleotides) under uncultured bacterium. RNAcentral's name for it is "partial 16S ribosomal RNA". It matches the Rfam family "Bacterial small subunit ribosomal RNA", at positions 28 to 507 of the family's 1533-position model. The record is from RNAcentral.